This 244-nucleotide ribosomal RNA is filed under the name uncultured bacterium. RNAcentral's name for it is "partial 16S ribosomal RNA". It matches the Rfam family "Bacterial small subunit ribosomal RNA", at positions 533 to 776 of the family's 1533-position model. The record is from RNAcentral.
UGCAAGCGUUACUCGGAAUUACUGGGCGUAAAGCGUGCGUAGGCGGUUUCUUAAGUCUGAUGUGAAAGCCCCCGGCUCAACUGGGGAGGGUCAUUCGAUACUGAUCGACUGGAAGGCAGGAGAGGGAAGCGGAAUUCCCGGUGUAGUGGUGAAAUGCGUAGAUAUCGGGAGGAACACCAGUGGCGAAGGCGGCUUCCUGGCCUGUUCUUGACGCUGAGGCGCGAAAGCUAGGGGAGCAAACGGG